Molecule: long non-coding RNA, 272 nt
Filed under: Coffea arabica (coffee)
Lineage: Eukaryota; Viridiplantae; Streptophyta; Magnoliopsida; Gentianales; Rubiaceae
Description: long non-coding RNA (CARA_LNC003816)
Source: RNAcentral
CAAGAAGAAGAAGCCAGUCAUUGCUGUGAAGAUGGUUUUUGAAUUGAAGACUACAAGGCCUAUCGUGCUCAUGUUUUGUUCUAGAUGGGAAUCGUGGUCAUAUUUUUGUAUAGAACUUUACUACUCUCUAUUGUGGAUGGGAAAUCACUAGUAUUGUAACUGAAUGGCUUAUUUUGGAUGGUGCAUGGUUUAUGACUCAUUUGAGGCAACAUUUAUAUAUAUGUAUUUGGGUUGAUCUUCUAUUGGAAAUGAAUGUUGGUUUUCUUUUCGUA